UGGGGUAUAUUGCACAACGGGCGCAAGCCCGAUGCAGCCAUGCUGCGGGUAUGAAGAAGGCCUUCGGGUUGUAAACUACUUUCAGUGGGGAGGAAGGGAGUCAUGUUAAUACCUUUACUCAUUGACGUUACCCGCAGAAGAAGCACCGGCUAACUCCGUGCCAGCAGCCGCGGUAAUACGGAGGGUGCAAGCGUUAAUCGGAAUUACUGGGCGUAAAGCGCACGCAGGCGGUUUGUUUAGUCAGUUGUGAAAUCCCCGGGCUAAACCUGGGAAAAGCAUCUGAUACUGGCAAGCUUGAGUCUCGUAGAGGGAGGUGGAGUUCCUGGUGUAGGGGUGAGAUGCGUAGAGAUCUAGAGGAAAACCGGUAGCGAGGGCGGCCCCCUGGACGAAGACUGACGCACAGGUGCGAAAGCGUGGGGGGCAAGCGGG
This 429-nucleotide ribosomal RNA is filed under the name Chloroflexota bacterium. RNAcentral describes it as "Chloroflexi bacterium partial 16S ribosomal RNA". It matches the Rfam family "Bacterial small subunit ribosomal RNA", at positions 355 to 776 of the family's 1533-position model. Lineage: Bacteria; Bacillati; Chloroflexota. The record is from RNAcentral.